UUAUCAUCAAAUGUCAUGAUCGUUACAACUCCAAACAAAAAUACAAAAAAAAGAGAAAUAAGAACAACAACUCAAGAGCUCAAAAACUCAACAACACUUAAACUGGAAACCAAGGAUAGGCAAACUCAUGCAGCAACCUGCUUCUCGAACCACUUCUUGAACCUUGCCUUCAUCCUCGCCUAUGGCUCCCAAGUCUCCUCUGUCACACCAUCGCAGUCCCACAUGACUUUGAUCGAAGGAAUCAUCUUCCGCCGAAGUUCCUUGAUCCUCCUCUCGAGAACCCUCACUAGUCUCGCCUCCCAAGUCAUGUUGGGUU
RNAcentral lists this small RNA (316 nucleotides) under Arabidopsis thaliana (thale cress). RNAcentral describes it as "ATSL159580". The record is from RNAcentral. Lineage: Eukaryota; Viridiplantae; Streptophyta; Magnoliopsida; Brassicales; Brassicaceae.